GACGAACGCUGGCGGCGUGCCUAAUACAUGCAAGUUGAGCGAUGAAGCUUGGUGCUUGCACCAAUUUGAAGAGCAGCGAACGGGUGAGUAACGCGUGGGGAAUCUGCCUUUGAGCGGGGGACAACAUUUGGAAACGAAUGCUAAUACCGCAUAAUAACUUUAAACAUAAGUUUUAAGUUUGAAAGAUGCAAUUGCAUCACUCAAAGAUGAUCCCGCGUUGUAUUAGCUAGUUGGUGAGGUAAAGGCUCACCAAGGCGAUGAUACAUAGCCGACCUGAGAGGGUGAGCGGCCACAUUGGGACUGAGACACGGCCCAAACUCCUACGGGAGGCAGCAGUAGGGAAUCUUCGGCAAUAGACGGAAGUCUGACCGAGCAACGCCGCGUGAGUGAAGAAGGUUUUCGGAUCGUAAAACUCUGUUGGUAGGGAAGAACGUUGGUGAGAGUGGAAAGCUCAUCAAGUGACGGUAACUACCCAGAAAGGGACGGCUAACUACGUG
Molecule: ribosomal RNA, 497 nt
Filed under: uncultured bacterium
Lineage: Bacteria
Description: partial 16S ribosomal RNA
Rfam family: Bacterial small subunit ribosomal RNA
Source: RNAcentral